ACGAACGCUGGCGGCGUGCUUAACACAUGCCAGUCGAACGGAAAGGCCCUGCUUUUGUGGGGUGCUCGAGUGGCGAACGGGUGAGUAACACGUGAGUAACCUGCCCUUGACUUUUGGUUAACUUCAGGAAACUGGGGCUAAUACCGGUUAGGAGCUCCUGCUGCAUGUUUGGGGUUGGAAAGUUUCGGCGGUUGGGGAUGGACUCGCGGCUUAUCAGCUUGUUGGUGGGGUAGUGGCUUACCAAGGCUUUGACGGGUAGCUGGCCUGAUAGGGUGACCGGCCACAUAGGGACAGGGAAACGGCCCAGACUCAUAAGGGAGGCAGGAGUGGGGAAUAUUGAACAAUGGGCGGAAGCGUGAUGGAGAAACGCCGGGUGGGGGAUGACGGCCUUCGGGAUGUAAAACGAUUUCGCCUGUGACGAAGCGUGAGUGAGGGUAAUGGGUAAAGAAGAACCGGCAAACUACGU
Molecule: ribosomal RNA, 466 nt
Filed under: uncultured bacterium
Lineage: Bacteria
Description: partial 16S ribosomal RNA
Rfam family: Bacterial small subunit ribosomal RNA
Source: RNAcentral